RNAcentral lists this transfer RNA (73 nucleotides) under Nannocystis exedens. Its description in RNAcentral is "tRNA-Phe". It matches the Rfam family "tRNA". From Rfam's summary of the family: Transfer RNA (tRNA) molecules are approximately 80 nucleotides in length. Their secondary structure includes four short double-helical elements and three loops (D, anti-codon, and T loops). Lineage: Bacteria; Pseudomonadati; Myxococcota; Nannocystales; Nannocystaceae. The record is from RNAcentral. RNAcentral also lists the same sequence under 5 other names.
GCCCAGAUAGCUCAGUCGGUAGAGCAGGGGACUGAAAAUCCCCGUGUCGGCGGUUCGAUUCCGUCUCUGGGCA